GACAGAGGGUGCAAACGUUGUUCGGAAUUACUGGGCGUAAAGCGCGUGUAGGCGGCCAUGCAAGUCGGAUGUGAAAUCCCACGGCUCAACCGUGGAAGUGCAUUCGAAACUGCAGGGCUAGAGUCCUGGAGAGGAAGGUGGAAUGCUUGGUGUAGAGGUGAAAUUCGUAGAUAUCAAGCGGAACACCGGUGGCGAAGGCGGCCUUCUGGACAGUGACUGACGCUGAGACGCGAAAGCGUGGGGAGCAAACAGG
This 253-nucleotide ribosomal RNA is filed under the name uncultured bacterium. RNAcentral describes it as "partial 16S ribosomal RNA". It matches the Rfam family "Bacterial small subunit ribosomal RNA", at positions 524 to 776 of the family's 1533-position model. The record is from RNAcentral.